Molecule: long non-coding RNA, 1193 nt
Filed under: Helianthus annuus (common sunflower)
Lineage: Eukaryota; Viridiplantae; Streptophyta; Magnoliopsida; Asterales; Asteraceae
Description: hypothetical non coding rna
Source: RNAcentral
CCCAAGUAAUCCUGCACCACUUCUAAAAUUUUCAGAAUCCUCAGAAUCAGGAUCAGGGCCCCUAAAACUCAGGGGGGGGGGUAUUCCCCACUUGACGAUUAUCCAUAAUAAUUUGCUGUCAAAAUUUGAAAUUAUCAUUUCAUCGAAUCAGCUAACCUAUCAAUGCACGUAGCAAGCCUAUGACGAAUCGUGGCCCGUCGCGUCACGCGGCGCCCCCUAUGGACCCCUCGCGUCACGCGAGAGGGUCAAUUUUCAGCUAUAAAUAGCUUGGUUCACAAGCUGUUCGUCUGUGUCAAAACUAAUUCACAAAAGUGAAUUCUCACCACUCAAAAUUCAAAUUUAAGAUAUCGGGGUACUGCUACGAUACCGGGUAUUAACUUGAUCGCUGCUACGAUUCAAUAUCCGAUCAACUGAAACUAUCCAACAGGAUGUUUAAGUGUUAUCCUUUGUCAUUAAUCGUGAUUCCGACAGGAUGUUUGAGUGCCGCCCAAACUCGGGGUGGACUCUGUCAUUCGUUGUGAAUCCGAUGGAUGUUUAAGUGAUUUCAUUUUGUCAUUCGUCGUGAGGGUUUUAGUCUCGUGAAUUUAUCGUAAAUGCUGUAUUAGUUAUUUACCUAGUUUUGUGUGCAUUAUCGCUUAAAUUAGGUUAUCAGGCUUAUCAUUAGACUAAACACUACCCCUUACACUUACAAUCAAAGUAGAUGCUAAUUCUCAAAACAAUCUGAAUCAUGAAGCUUGUCAAUUCAAUACUGCAUGUUUAUAAUGUAAUUACAGUAGAUUGGAGUAAGAAUUGGAUCCGGCACUGAAGGACUUCAAGAAGUGGCUUAUUUUAUUAAUUAAAUCAACUUAAAAAAAAUAUUGUUUUUGGGUUUAUCCCGUAUUAAAAGCUACCUUUGUAAAACAUGGAAUUUAUUCCAUCUAUUUAAAUAAAAUCCGGUGUUUCUAAACUCUGAUAUUUUUCCUAACUCACGGUCCUAAUGAAAUGUCACACCCCGAUUUCCACGUGUCUCACCGGUGGGCCCGGUAGGGGAUUAUCGUGACGUAGUUGGCAACAAUAUAGUCAAACCACACAAUAUAUGAAUGCACAGCGGAAGCAUAAAGAUAAUUAUAUUUCAACCAUUGUUUGUAAUAUCAAAUGUAUUACGAAUAGUCGAAAGGUAUCCACAGGGGAUCAAAUAAAAAUAUAAGUAUUGU